RNAcentral lists this transfer RNA (73 nucleotides) under Climacostomum virens. Lineage: Eukaryota; Ciliophora; Heterotrichea; Heterotrichida; Climacostomidae. The record is from RNAcentral.
CAAGGGCGAGUGCUGAAUCAAAUGAGAUAGCUUAUGGUGCAUUGAAGUAGGAGCCUGCUUCUUAACUUGCUGC